UACGAAGGGGGCUAGCGUUGUUCGGAAUCACUGGGCGUAAAGCGCACGUAGGCGGAUUGUUAAGUCGGGGGUGAAAUCCUGAGGCUCAACCUCAGAACUGCCUUCGAUUCUGGCAAUCUCGAGUCCGGAAGAGGUUGGUGGAACAGCUAGUGUAGAGGUGAAAUUCGUAGAUAUUAGCUAGAACACCAGUGGCGAAGGCGGCCAACUGGUCCGGUACUGACGCUGAGGUGCGAAAGCGUGGGGAGCAAACAGG
RNAcentral lists this ribosomal RNA (253 nucleotides) under uncultured bacterium. RNAcentral describes it as "partial 16S ribosomal RNA". It matches the Rfam family "Bacterial small subunit ribosomal RNA", at positions 524 to 776 of the family's 1533-position model. The record is from RNAcentral.